GAGUUUGAUCCUGGCUCAGGACGAACGCCGGCGGCGUGCUUAACACAUGCAAGUCGAACGGAGCGAAUGAAAGCUUGCUUUUAUGAGCUUAGUGGCAAACGGGUGAGUAACACGUAGACAACCUGCCGACAGGAUGGGGACAACAUUCCGAAAGGAAUGCUAAUACCGAAUGAAGUGCAGGGGAGGCAUCUCCCCUGCAUGAAAGAUGGCCUCUGAAUAUGCUAUCACCUGUUGAUGGGUCUGCGUCUGAUUAGCUAGUUGGUGAGGUAACGGCUCACCAAGGCGACGAUCAGUAGCCGGUCUGAGAGGAUGAACGGCCACAUUGGGACUGAGACACGGCCCAGACUCCUACGGGAGGCAGCAGUGGGGAAUCUUCCGCAAUGGGCGCAAGCCUGACGGAGCAACGCCGCGUGAGUGAAGAAGGUCUUCGGAUCGUAAAGCUCUGUUGAUGGGGACGAACGUGCGAAGGGUGAAUAAUCCUUUGUAAUGACGGUACCUAUCGAGGAAGCCACGGCUAACUACGUGCCAGCAGCCGCGGUAAUACGUAGGUGGCGAGCGUUGUCCGGAAUCAUUGGGCGUAAAGGGAGCGCAGGCGGGCAUGUAAGUCUUUCUUAAAAGUUCGGGGCUCAACCCCGUGAUGGGAAAGAAA
This 649-nucleotide ribosomal RNA is filed under the name uncultured bacterium. RNAcentral describes it as "bacterial SSU rRNA". It matches the Rfam family "Bacterial small subunit ribosomal RNA", at positions 9 to 632 of the family's 1533-position model. The record is from RNAcentral.